CUGUGUCGAUACCGACACUACUGUUGUGGGAUGUGAACUUAAGGAACCGCCCUCUUUUUCCCGACUGAAAAAAAAAAAAAAGGAGACUCCCUCUAACUUGGUUCACCUCGACACACACCUGUAGACCUUUUGUUCGUGAAAUGUGAACCAAGAGGAAGAAGGAGAAGAAUAGGGGAGAAAAAAAAACCCUUUGUGUCCUGGGGGAGUCUGAAGGAAGAAAUUGAAAUGUGACAGGAUGCUACUUAUUGUGGACGGUGCACAAGAUUUCUGAGAUGUCUUUUUUUUUUUAUCUACGACUGUACUCUGCAAAGAAACCCUAAAACAACUAAAAACUCUUAAACAAACGGCGGAAGAUGAUAGACAGUUAAAUAUUGGGAUCAUCAGUUGUACCGUAUAUAUAAAACUCAUUUUAUCUAAUCCAUCAACAGUUCAUAAGAGAUAGACAUCUGGUUGGAAGUGUGAGCACACUGUAGUUCUCUUUAUGUUAAACACACCCACAUUUUUGGUGGUUUAUCUUAGAUUAGCUUGUCUUCCAUUUUUUAUGGUUUAAUCACACAAAAUCAAUGCGUAAUAGCCUUGAUUUGUUUACACUACUAGUUAAACAGUCCUUAUCUGUCCGACAGAUAAGAGCUGUAAAAUCAUUGACUGAUAAGCUGUUUCCACCUGCUCAUCACUUACUGUUUGGACGGGUUACUUCACUAUAUUCAUCCAAAAAAGCCAGUGUAGAAUUGCAAAUUAUAUAUAUAUUGUAGAUCAAUUAAACCACACUAUCUCACUACGUUGGUAAGCUCAGCAUCGGUAGAUAAAAACUGAAUAAAACCAAAGAACACAGGAUCAACAAGUGCAAGUAGUUUAUUGUCAAGAAAUAUUAUUCGUGAUCAUUGAAGCAACUUAACUCUUCUUUUAUUUCCCAUGAUUGUCAUCCAUUUCAGCUUAAAUGACUCAAACAUAAUCAACAAAUAUUUCUAUUCGUGUCACCUUUCCAGGUAUAUAGUAACAUAAAGGCAUUAGGCAUUAAAGCACAGGU
Molecule: long non-coding RNA, 1027 nt
Organism: Cynoglossus semilaevis (tongue sole)
Lineage: Eukaryota; Metazoa; Chordata; Actinopteri; Pleuronectiformes; Cynoglossidae
Exons: 3
Source: RefSeq, a predicted model, not a curated record